Molecule: long non-coding RNA, 533 nt
Filed under: Parus major (Great Tit)
Lineage: Eukaryota; Metazoa; Chordata; Aves; Passeriformes; Paridae
Description: lncRNA (ENSPMJG00000000264.1)
Source: RNAcentral
AUUCUUGAAUGCUAGACUCAGUCCAGCUUCAGUCUAGUUUCCCUCACCUCCCCACUCCAGUGUUGUUGAUGUGGUUGAGGUCAGAGGGGUAAAUAUGAGGUUCAAGGGAUCAGUACUGGAGAAGGAAACAGUGUUUACCUCCAAGUUCUAGAUCCAAGAUGAGAUCAAAAAACGUGACCUGGCGAGGAGCUAUCAAAUGAGCACAGCAAUGGGAGCACAGCAAGAAAUGUUCACUGAUAUUUCUUGGAAUGAAAUUAUAGAUACACUUCUGCAUUUGAAGUAUUAUAGCAAAAAGAACUCCUUCAAGGUGAAUUUAACAACCAGACUGAGGGACUCUGCUAAUUCACUUUAUUCUGGUCUCAUCCCUGAUGGAAAGGACAAGAGUUGACAAUGAGGACAGCUGCUUGUUUGAAGAAAAAAUACACUUAGAUAACAGGAUGGAUCUGGGGCUCAGCAGAGGUGCUGAAGCUUCUCACAGGUGGGUUUUCAGGCACAGUUUCCAAAUCCCCCAAAAGCUAAAGAUUAAUGUUCAU